Peromyscus eremicus (cactus mouse) is the source of this 1031-nucleotide long non-coding RNA. RefSeq lists it as uncharacterized. The transcript has 3 exons. NCBI's taxonomy places the organism in Eukaryota, Metazoa, Chordata, Mammalia, Rodentia, Cricetidae. The record is from RefSeq and is a predicted model, not a curated record.
AGGACUCGAUGAUGGAGGGAGCACAAUUAAGCUCUAGAGUUAGCUCAGGCUCGCCCUAGGAACCGAGGGAUGGGAGGGAACCUAGACGAUCUCUCAGAUCCUUGGGCCCCUUCCCCGCGGAGGCCACAUCUCCCUGGCCAGCUCCCCCUGGCGGCAGCACCCUGCGACGCUGGCAGGCCUUGACCUGAUUAGGACCGGCGAGCCUGCGACCAAUCGGCCUUCCUCCGCCUCUCGGCGCGCCGCUGCGCAGCCAAUGAGCGCCGUCUCCCUGGCCGCUCCUCCCGCGCCAGAUCCAGAUUUGUCAACCGCGGAGAAACAAGGUCUAUUUCGGGAAGGGACUGCAGCGGCCGCGGUCCGCAGCUGCAAGAGCCCAGGAACCCCAGGCUACGUGAUUAAAAUUUCAGACCUCGGCACAAGCGCUUUGACCGUGAGGGGGUGUUGUGACGGUAUCCCUCAUAAAAUCAAGCAGAAUCCUGGUACGUUAACCAAACAGAAGCAAAGCUUUUCCUACCGGACAGGAGAGAGAGCAUCCCAGAGUCCUGACCCUACGCAAGCCCCUGAGUCACCUCCUCUGAAAUAGUUUAGUACAUAGAAAUAUGGUUUAUCCGGGUCGUGAAAAUUAAACGCACGUAUUUGUUAACACUAAACCUAAAAUUUGUAACACUAAAUCUAAAGAUCUAGAUGUCUUCUGUCUGGCUCUUCAAUUCCUCGUCCGUGACAUCCAUCUCAGGGCGUGGAAGACUGACCUGCGUAAACUGCCCUCGUUCAUCUCUGCUUUCCACGGGGUUCCAUCCAUGAAUGGCAAAGGCAGAGCACAAGGAGUGGACCAUUGUCACCAAGAAAAUUCUAUAAGAUACCACAUCCACCCACCAUCACUACAACUGUUGACCCUGUCAAGAUAAGUCAAUAGUAACCUUUUUUUUUCCUAAGAAUGCAUAUUGCUAUGUAGUAGAUAAGACUGUUUCCGAUGGGAACAGACAAGAGCCUCAAGCUAUGGAGCACCUGACUUCUGCCUUGUAUCCACAGACCAA